GGGGGUGUACUGGCUUCGACUUGGGAAUGAAGUAUUGAACGCAUGCGGAGGAUUUCGGUUGGCCUCCUUAAAAAACCGAUACAGCAAUAAAUGCUGAAGAAAACACAAUGGCUAACUGGUUCGCUAAAGGUGAAGCGCAAGCUCAACCUGAACUAGUUGCUUGUGCUGCUUAAUACUUAACCGUAUUGAGUGGUCCGAUGGCCCGGGGUUAGACUAAGGACUCCGGAUUUCGUCGUAAUCAAUCUUGGUAAGGAAAGAAUGCCCGAACGCUUCCAGGGCAUCUUUUCAAGAUUAAACGAAGCAGGUUGAUCUUAGUGUCGUGUUCUGCAACGGGAUUAACCUUAAUUAUCAGAACGCUAAGCAUGUAGUGGGCAAUAUGUAGUUUGCCGAGGACGAGAGUUCGACUCUCUCCACCUCCAA
Molecule: transfer-messenger RNA, 420 nt
Filed under: Chlamydiales bacterium
Lineage: Bacteria; Pseudomonadati; Chlamydiota; Chlamydiia; Chlamydiales
Rfam family: transfer-messenger RNA
About the family: Bacterial tmRNA, also known as 10Sa RNA or SsrA, is named for its dual tRNA and mRNA-like properties. Its role is to liberate the mRNA from a stalled ribosome.
Source: RNAcentral